Molecule: long non-coding RNA, 936 nt
Organism: Lonchura striata (white-rumped munia)
Lineage: Eukaryota; Metazoa; Chordata; Aves; Passeriformes; Estrildidae
Source: Ensembl
GCCCCCGGCCCGGCCGCGCUUCCGCCCGCGUCAGCUGAUCUGCCCGGCAGCGGCCCGGCCCGCGGAACCUCGGCGCGGGCGCCCGCAGCAUGGCAGGGGCCGUGGUGAGCGGAGCACAGGUGUCCUACAUUAGUCAGGACUGUGAAGAAAUUCCAGAAUUCCUAGGAAGAAAAUAUGGACACAUGGCAAAAAGGCUAGAUCUUAGCUUCAACUUGUUAAGGUAUGUGGCAGUAUAUAGAUUUUUAAGUGCAAUGUGGAAUUCCAACUCCUAAAAUACACUGUUUUUUUUUUUCAAAGUAGGAAAAUGUUUGUCAGGUACAUUUAAUUGUUGUCAAGUGGACAACACUAUUUUAUAAGUAAUGUUUAUCUCCUUUUCUCCCACACUUGAAGCACAAAUAACCAGGUGAGUCUGGCAAGCUAAUAUGUGUUAACAAAUGAUGCCCAUUGAUAAACUUAUGCUUUGUUCUCUACUUAAAUUGGAAAAUAAGCGUUGUUACCUGAAGAAGUGAAGAAUAGGAUCAAAAGUGAGUUUUCCUUAACCAAAAUACAAGUAAGUAUGUGCUUCUCUCCCUUUCUAAAAAUUUUAUUUAUAGAUUUCUGGUUAUUACUAUAAAUACUUUAUAAUGCUCUUUUCCCAGAUGAUGUGUUUUAUUCUAUAAUUUUAUUUUUGUGCAUCUGUGUAGUUAAGUGCUAAAGCUAAGUGCAGUUAGAAUUUUUAAUUCCUUCUAAGUAUUUUAAUAUAUGAAUUGGUUUAGGAUUCUGCAGUAUUGCUGUGAGCUACUACAGCAUCCCAUUUCAUUUAAUCCUUAUAAGAGAGCCUGCUGAGGUUCAGCAGAAUAUAUUUCAGGUUGAAAAAUGUGGGUAAGUAUGGAGAAAGUAUUUGAAUGCAAUUGUCUGUUUAAUAAAAAAAUAGGUUUGUGAGGGGAGGGUUGGACU